AUCAUAACAGAUAGUUACACCCAACAAUUUGAAAAUUGCUGGUUAUAAAAAAUUGAAUCUCAUGUUUACUUUGAAAUCCAAACUAAAGGUUGGGUUGACAGUGUAAUGUUUUAAAGCAUGGAAUUUGAUUUGCAUUUGCAUUGACCUCCCUGUAUUAUAAAUUUAAUAAGAGGGUGAACACUUGAACUUAGAUAGGAACUCAUAAUUGAGUGUGAAAAAG
This 220-nucleotide unclassified non-coding RNA is filed under the name Hevea brasiliensis (rubber tree). The record is from RNAcentral. Lineage: Eukaryota; Viridiplantae; Streptophyta; Magnoliopsida; Malpighiales; Euphorbiaceae.